AAUGCCGCGAUUUAUAGUAUCGGAGAUUCACACCGAACUCUUUAUGGAAGGAUUCUGAUCCCAUUUUACCGUAUUCGGGCAGAGAUUCCAAGGAAAGCAGCGAAAUUAUGUGACGACGACAUGUGAGGAAGUUUAGGCGUGCUAACAUGAGGUAUGGGGCCCCAAAACAAAAGCAAAUCGUUGGACGGAUGGAGCAGACUGUGGCUGGCAUGGCUGUGGUCGGGCGAGAGGCCGUGUACAAGACCGGGGAGGCCAGGAACCGGGUCGGGGAUGCAGUCGGGGCCGAGGGGAGGGUGGGGCAGUUGUGCGAGGCCGGACGCUGACCUCGCAGGAGCCCCUGAACGAGUGUGAGUGAUGACGUGGGCCUCCCAAGAAGUGGGAAUUUAUUUUCUUACCUAGUUUGUAUCGUUGCCUUGUCCUCGGAACUCCUCAGGAACUUUGUACUUUUGCCACAAGUUAUCUUACUGGUAUGGUAGAGCUUAGUAUGAGAGAUUGUGGACAAAAUCUUCCUUUUAUUGCUUUUUAUUACUUAAUGAUCAAUAAAAUAGGUGGAAACAACUUAACAUAGACUCUCAAGCAAAAUAGUGACUGUAAGCUUUAAUUUGAUGUACAGCAAGCUUAUAUUCCACUUGCCAGACAAUGUCACAACAAAGUUUAUUCAAUGCUACAAGAAUAGUGAUUAUACUCCAUUCAGCACCAAGGACAAUGUUCAAUCAUUGACUUACCUGUAGCAAUACCUGUUUAUUUUCUUACCUCCCAUGUAUCUUUGUCAUGUCCCCAGGACUCAUCAAUAACUUUCUACUGAUGUCAAAAGUUUUUUUUACUGGUGCUGUAGAGAUGAUUGUGACAUAUUGUGGACUCAUCUAUUUUUUAUUGCUUUUUAUGACUUUAUGAUAAAUAUAUUAGGUGCAGAUAACUUAACUUAGACUCUCAAGCAAAGUAGAGACAGCAAGCUUGAAUUUAUGGUACAACAAGCUUUUAUUUCACUUGCCAGACAGUGUCAGAAUGAAGUUUAUUCAACACUGAAGGGAUAGUAGUUAGACAGAAAAGCCAGUUCAGCACCAAGGACAAUGUCCAAGCAUUAACUCACCUGUAGCAAUACCUGCAUGAUUUUUUUUUCUCACAUGGGCAAGAAAAUGUUGUCAGAAGUCUUAAGAUAGAUUGUAGUCAAGAAAUUGACACUGGAAAUGUAUGAUAUGAAAGUAGAAUACAAAAGUUUAAUGAAAAA
Long non-coding RNA from Branchiostoma floridae (Florida lancelet), 1228 nucleotides. RefSeq lists it as uncharacterized. The record is from RefSeq and is a predicted model, not a curated record. Lineage: Eukaryota; Metazoa; Chordata; Leptocardii; Amphioxiformes; Branchiostomatidae. The transcript is spliced from 2 exons.